GACAGAGGGGGCAAGCGUUGCUCGGAAUUACUGGGCGUAAAGGGCGCGUAGGCGGAAUGGCAAGUCGGUCGUGAAAUCCUUCGGCUCAACCGAAGAACGUCGAUCGAAACUGCCGUUCUUGAGGAUUGCAGAGGAGACUGGAAUUCCCGGUAUAGCGGUGAAAUGUGUAGAGAUCGGGAGGAACACCGGUGGCGAAGGCGGGUCUCUGGGCAAUUCCUGACGCUGAGGCGCGAAAGCGUGGGGAGCAAACGGG
RNAcentral lists this ribosomal RNA (253 nucleotides) under uncultured bacterium. RNAcentral's name for it is "partial 16S ribosomal RNA". It matches the Rfam family "Bacterial small subunit ribosomal RNA", at positions 524 to 776 of the family's 1533-position model. The record is from RNAcentral.